Molecule: long non-coding RNA, 350 nt
Organism: Acinonyx jubatus (cheetah)
Lineage: Eukaryota; Metazoa; Chordata; Mammalia; Carnivora; Felidae
Exons: 2
Source: RefSeq, a predicted model, not a curated record
GUGCCUGACUUUGGCGGAGGUCCCUUUCAAGUUUAUUCUCAGACCCUCCCAACCUUCCCUCUCCAUCGAGUGUGAAACAAGAGGAACUAAACGACUUGAUGGUCUGAUUCAGCCCAGACUCAGGCUUGUGUCCCUACAAGGAAAAUGAAGUUAAAUCUUCAGAUAAUUUUUCUGAAAGUCGAGACCUGCCAACACUCCCCCCCCCCCCCCCCCCACUGAAGACAAAAAAAUAUGUUUGGGGAUUUUCUGAGUUGACUUUCUACGCUGAUGUUAAAAUUGUCCACACUUGCUACAAAGAACCUGCAUUUUGCUUUUGCUUCAUUAUCUCCAAUCAGAAACCAUGUCAUAUC